RNAcentral lists this ribosomal RNA (1148 nucleotides) under metagenome. Its description in RNAcentral is "SSU rRNA". It matches the Rfam family "Eukaryotic small subunit ribosomal RNA", at positions 211 to 1370 of the family's 1831-position model. The record is from RNAcentral.
GUCUGUAUGGGCUUCGGUCUCUUCUGAGAUACUUUUGGUGAUUCAAAAUAACUUAUCGAAUCGCAGAGGCGUUUACGUCGGCGAUGAUACAUACAAAUUUCUGCUCGAUUAACUGUCGAUGGUAGUGUAGUGGACUACCAUGGUGAUAAUCGAUGACGGGGGAUUAGGGUUCGAUUCCGGAGAGGUAGCCUGAGAAAUGGCUACCACUUCCAAGGAAGGCAGCAGGCGCGCAAAUUACCCAAUGCUAACUCAGCGAGGUAGUGACAAGAAAUACCAAUACAAUGCCAAUGGUGUUGUGUUUGGAAUGAGAGUAAUCUAAAUAUUUACUCGAGGAACAAUUGGAGGGCAAGUCUGGUGCCAGCAGCCGCGGUAAUUCCAGCUCCAAUAGUGUGUAUUAAAGUUGUUGCAGUUAAAAAGCUCGUAGUUGGAUGUCGGUAACUGUCAUAAGUGUCUACACUCAAUGUGUACGUACACGAAUGCAGUACCUUCUUUCUGGUAGUGAUUUCAUAUUGCUCCAGAUAUUUUACUUUGAGAAAAUUAGAGUGUUCAAAGCAGGCGUAACUUUGCCUUUGAAUAUAUUAGCAUGGGAUAAUGAAAUAAGACUUUUGCCUUAUUCUCGUUGGUUCUUUUAGGCUUAAGUAAUGAUUAAUAGGGACAGUUGGGGUUAUCUGUAUUUGAUCGCCAGAGGUGAAAUUCUAAGACUGAUCAAAGACAAACUACUGCGAAAGCAUUUAACAAGGAUGUUUUCAUUAAUCAAGAACGAAAGUUGGGGGAUCGAAGAUGAUCAGAUACCGUCGUAGUCCCAACCAUAAACUAUGUCGACCAAGGAUUCGAAAGCGUUACAUGAAUGACCUCUCGGGCACUUAUAGAGAAAUCAUAAGUAUUUGGAUUCCGGGGGGAGUAUGGUCGCAAGGCUGAAACUUAAAGAAAUUGACGGAAGGGCACCACAAGGAGUGGAAUAUGCGGUUUAAUUUGACCCAACACGGGAAAACUUACCAGGUCCAGACACAAGGAGGAUUGACAGAUUGAGAGCUCUUUCUUAAUUUUGUGGGUGGUGGUGCAUGGCCGUUUCUAGUUGGUGGAGUGAUUUGUCUGGUUAAUUCCGUUAACGAACGAGACCUUAACCUAUUAAAUAGUAACACCUACUU